GGGGCCGAAACGGUUUCGACGUGUGCGAUGGAAGCGUACUGUGCGUGUCCCGCCUUGUGUGUUCGGCGGGUUAGAACGGACACUCAACUCGAACUGCCGACAACGUAGUUCCCUUCCCGACCCCGAUGGCGACCCCGGUCGCCCGGGCUGCCUAAACGGCACGGGCGUGCCCUGAGUAAGGAGCUCGAGUAGCUCAGGGGGCGUGAUUACACGAGCAAACCCAGGCUGAGUUCUGCGUGAUGACGCCGGGUAAACGAAAGCGCAGUAAGGCCGUGAUGACUUGUCUCUCGGAAGUCACUGUCUGAAACGAAAAGAGAGACCACACACGUGAAGAUCAGUACGUAACGCGUAAACGGACCCGGGUUCGACUCCCGGCGGCUCCACCA
This 386-nucleotide transfer-messenger RNA is filed under the name Phycisphaerae. RNAcentral's name for it is "B1-G9 sp003644335 Standard tmRNA". It matches the Rfam family "transfer-messenger RNA". Rfam says of the family: Bacterial tmRNA, also known as 10Sa RNA or SsrA, is named for its dual tRNA and mRNA-like properties. Lineage: Bacteria; Pseudomonadati; Planctomycetota. RNAcentral also lists the same sequence under 1 other name. The record is from RNAcentral.